This 218-nucleotide long non-coding RNA is filed under the name Lathyrus oleraceus (garden pea). RNAcentral's name for it is "Pisum sativum (pea) long non-coding RNA (PSAT_LNC024294)". Lineage: Eukaryota; Viridiplantae; Streptophyta; Magnoliopsida; Fabales; Fabaceae. The record is from RNAcentral.
CUUGAUCCAACUAUAAAUAGAAACCUCUAGGUUCAUAAUUAAGGACUCCCUCGCGCCAACUUUGAUCCCAAACACCAAACCCUUCCAUUUGAGAGGAUAAUCCUGAGAAUUUCCUUGUGAAAUUGAGUUUGAAUCUCACCGUUUUGAGAUUCAAAACUCCAGGGAUCCAAGGCCUUUUGUGCAUCCUAAUCUUCACCGUUUUGAGAUUCAAAACUCCA